AUUUUAUUGGUCGAUUUGAAAUUGAUCAAUCACAUUCUUUUGAUAACAAGCUCUAAUUUGAUUGGCUAAAACAUGUCAUAUGUACACAUGGCAUGAUUUUACUAGCUCAUUUCAUUUAACUUGGAUUGCCACAUAAUAUUUGACACAUGACAUGCUUUUAGUGGCUCAUUUCAUUUAACAUGGAUUCUCACCUCAUGUGACAAGAGACAUGGGC
This 214-nucleotide long non-coding RNA is filed under the name Capsicum annuum. RNAcentral's name for it is "long non-coding RNA (CANN_LNC009763)". Lineage: Eukaryota; Viridiplantae; Streptophyta; Magnoliopsida; Solanales; Solanaceae. The record is from RNAcentral.